UACAGAGGUCUCAAGCGUUGUUCGGAUUCAUUGGGCGUAAAGGGUGCGUAGGUGGCGCCGUAAGGCGGAUGUGAAAUUUCGGAGCUUAACUCCGAAACUGCAUUCGAUACUGCGGUGCUUGAGGACUGGAGAGGAGACUGGAAUUCAUGGUGUAGCGGUGAAAUGCGUAGAUAUCGAGAGGAACACCUGCGGCGAAGGCGGGUUGCUGGGCUGACACUGACGCUGAAGCGCGAAAGCUAGGGGAGCGAACGGG
This 253-nucleotide ribosomal RNA is filed under the name uncultured bacterium. Its description in RNAcentral is "partial 16S ribosomal RNA". It matches the Rfam family "Bacterial small subunit ribosomal RNA", at positions 524 to 776 of the family's 1533-position model. The record is from RNAcentral.